ACUUAUCUCGAAUGCGCGUUAGGGAUGGUAGUGGAGCUUUUUUUAUUAAUUGCCACGGGUUUAAACCCGUGGCAAUUAAUAAAAAAAGCGGGAACGUACAGCCCGACCCUUG
RNAcentral lists this small RNA (112 nucleotides) under Flavobacterium sp. 1. RNAcentral's name for it is "Flavo-1 RNA". It matches the Rfam family "Flavo-1 RNA". Lineage: Bacteria; Pseudomonadati; Bacteroidota; Flavobacteriia; Flavobacteriales; Flavobacteriaceae. The record is from RNAcentral.